AAAUACUGUAAUGAAUAUGAGGGAGAAGUACAAUGAUGAGAAGAUGUUAGAAUGACAGUAGAUGAAAGUGAAAGAAGGAACUUUCCAACAGCCUAAUCUACCGUCCAAUAAAAGCUGAUGUCAAGAUUUACUUGUAAUGACUAAUAUGCCCAAAACACAGAAUUUUUGAAUCAAGAAAGCAUGGGGAAAAAGACUUUGCUUUGAAGAGAAGAUAAAGAGGUCUCUAUCUCCAGUUGUGUAUGUAUAUAUGUAUGUAUAUAUAUAUGAAUAUUUGAAUGGAGUGUAUUUAAAUGUUGUGAGAUGGGCCAAGAAAGAAGGAAUAAAAUCAAAUAAAAACCCCAAAUGAUUAAAAUACAAAAUAAUACCU
This is a non-coding RNA of Erythranthe guttata (spotted monkey flower), 367 nucleotides long. NCBI's taxonomy places the organism in Eukaryota, Viridiplantae, Streptophyta, Magnoliopsida, Lamiales, Phrymaceae. The record is from RefSeq and is a predicted model, not a curated record.